RNAcentral lists this ribosomal RNA (252 nucleotides) under uncultured bacterium. RNAcentral describes it as "partial 16S ribosomal RNA". It matches the Rfam family "Bacterial small subunit ribosomal RNA", at positions 524 to 776 of the family's 1533-position model. The record is from RNAcentral.
UACGUAGGGUGCGAGCGUUAAUCGGAAUUACUGGGCGUAAAGCGUGCGCAGGCGGUUCGUUAAGUUCGUUGUGAAAGCCCCGGGCUCAACCUGGAAUGGCAAUGGAAACUGGCGGGCUGGAGUGUGGCAGAGGGGGGUGGAAUUCCGCGUGUAGCAGUGAAAUGCGUAGAGAUGCGGAGGAACACCGAUGGCGAAGGCAGCCCCCUGGGCCGACACUGACGCUCAGGCACGAAAGCGUGGGGAGCAAACAGG